UACGGAGGGUGCAAGCGUUGUCCGGAAUCACUGGGCGUAAAGGGCGCGUAGGCGGCUCAUGAAGGCUGUGGUGACAGUCCGGGGCUCAACCUCGGAUCGGCCGUGGCGACUCGUGGGCUGGAGCACUGUAGAGGCGGGUGGAAUUCCGGGUGUAGCGGUGGAAUGCGUAGAGAUCCGGAAGAACACCGGUGGCGAAGGCGGUGAGCUGGGCAGUUGCUGACACUGAGGCGCGACAGCGUGGGGAGCAAACAGG
Molecule: ribosomal RNA, 253 nt
Filed under: uncultured bacterium
Lineage: Bacteria
Description: partial 16S ribosomal RNA
Rfam family: Bacterial small subunit ribosomal RNA
Source: RNAcentral